Molecule: ribosomal RNA, 475 nt
Filed under: uncultured bacterium
Lineage: Bacteria
Description: partial 16S ribosomal RNA
Rfam family: Bacterial small subunit ribosomal RNA
Source: RNAcentral
UUGAACGCUGGCGGCAUGCUUUACACAUGCAAGUCGAACGGUAACAGGUUAAGCUGACGAGUGGCGAACGGGUGAGUAAUGCAUCGGAACGUGCCCGAUCGUGGGGGAUAACGCAGCGAAAGCUGCGCUAAUGCCGCAUACGCCCUGAGGGGGAAAGCGGGGGACCUUCGGGCCUCGCGCGAUUGGAGCGGCUGAUGGCGGAUUAGCUAGUUGGUGGGGUAAAGGCCUACCAAGGCGACGAUCCGUAGCUGGUCUGAGAGGAUGAUCAGCCACACUGGGACUGAGACACGGCCCAGACUCCUACGGGAGGCAGCAGUGGGGAAUUUUGGACAAUGGGCGCAAGCCUGAUCCAGCCAUGCCGCGUGAGUGAAGAAGGCCUUCGGGUUGUAAAGCUCUUUCAGCCGGAACGAAACGGUACGCUCUAACAUAGCGUGCUAAUGACGGUACCGGCAGAAGAAGCACCGGCUAACUACGU